This 361-nucleotide ribosomal RNA is filed under the name Streptomyces sp. M061017A-2. RNAcentral's name for it is "bacterial SSU rRNA". It matches the Rfam family "Bacterial small subunit ribosomal RNA", at positions 394 to 767 of the family's 1533-position model. Lineage: Bacteria; Bacillati; Actinomycetota; Actinomycetes; Kitasatosporales; Streptomycetaceae. The record is from RNAcentral.
ACGCCGCGUGAGGGAUGACGGCCUUCGGGUUGUAAACCUCUUUCAGCAGGGAAGAAGCGAAAGUGACGGUACCUGCAGAAGAAGCGCCGGCUAACUACGUGCCAGCAGCCGCGGUAAUACGUAGGGCGCAAGCGUUGUCCGGAAUUAUUGGGCGUAAAGAGCUCGUAGGCGGCUUGUCACGUCGGGUGUGAAAGCCCGGGGCUUAACCCCGGGUCUGCAUUCGAUACGGGCAGGCUAGAGUGUGGUAGGGGAGAUCGGAAUUCCUGGUGUAGCGGUGAAAUGCGCAGAUAUCAGGAGGAACACCGGUGGCGAAGGCGGAUCUCUGGGCCAUUACUGACGCUGAGGAGCGAAAGCGUGGGGA